AAAUUAUUUCUGCAAAUUUCUGUUUUCUCCUUUUAAAUUUUUGAUUUUUUUUUGAGUUUUAAAUUUACUUUUUAGCCUCUAUUGGUUUUUUAUAUGUGUGUAACUCUUGCACUUUAAUUUUAAUUUCAAAAAUUUUAAAUAUUUUAAGUAGUCUCUCUCUUGAUUUGCUUAUGUAAUAGUUGAUAGGCAAAGUGGAAGCAGCAGAGAUAAACAUCCUUAAAAGGGGAUCAUAACAAUCACCUUGAACUCUUUUUUUUACUGCCCUUUUGCUGCCCUCAGUGGAAUUCUCCUUUUUUAUAGUGUUAUAAAAGCCAUGAUCCUCUCAGGAGAUUUACUGGGCUGCAACUCUUUCCGGGGCCACAGACAUCUUUUUGCAGACAGCUCUUGCGCACUCCUGGCAUGGAGAUGUUUCUCAUUGUCUCACCUAUUUUAAUUAAGAGGAAUAAUAUUUGAAGUACAUUAAUAUCCCUUUCUCUUUUGCAUUUUCAUGGCUUAAUCUUCUUAUUCAGAUGGAACUCUCCAUCUUACUGGAGAUGAGGAUAAGGAGGAGAUAGGGCCUGGGAUGGAGUUUAGGACUGCUAUCAUGAGAAUACAAAGAGAAGACAUUAAUAGUUACCAGCUAGUAUCUAAAAGAGGAUUUGCAGCAAGACUGCCUUAAAAUCUAGGUUCUGUGUAGAGAUUGCAUUAGCAUACUAAGAACUAAAGCUGGUAGUCAGUGAGCAUUUAUUUUCUACCCUGAGUGUAGAGAAAAUAUUUCCUUUAGCAAUUCUAGGCUAAGGAACCUGCUCUCCUAGCAGAUGGAUGCUUUGGUGGAAGAAUAAGCUGAGCCUAACCUGAGAAAUGAAGAGAAGUAAAAGGGAGUCAGAUAGGAGAGAGCAGAGCAGGCACUAGGGUUUUAAUCAAUUCCAACACUUGAUAUGAGAGUGACAGUUUAGAAACGUUCGGGUUGACACAUGCAUGUAGAAAACAUCAGUGCUAGCGGCAAGUGACCUGAUUCCCCAGGUGGGUGGGCCUGCGAGACUCUAGGCACUAGAGCCUAGAAGAAGCCCUGAGCAGAGCAUUUCCAACGUGGUGCAGGGAUAUGCCAAACAGCAGUGUUGAAGGGAGGCAGGGCUCUGGUUUCUCUUUUCUGGGUUGAAGACCCUGAGGGAGGUAUGUGCUGGAUAAGACCAGGGAAUAUGGAGAGCAGAGGGGAUGGCUUCAGUAGAGCAUACUUGACAUCCUGAUUGGAUAGCAGAGUUUCAGAGAUUAGAUCUUGGCCACUUUGGUUCUCAUGCGUUUUGUUUGGGACCUACCUUCUCCACAAGGGAGUUAGCUGAAAGUCUGAUUUGAGGUCUUUCUGGAAAGUGUAGCCCUGAAGUCAAGCAUUGUAGAAUAUACUGCCUGGGUCAAAAUUAAUUGGAAGUCACAUCCAGGAAUUAAGGAACGUUCAGAGCUGGGGAGAGUUGAAGUGGACGAAAUAAUUAGGGAUGAUCAUAGUACCUGAGAGAAAAAGAGAGAGAUUUCAAAUUAGACAGCUAGAGAAAAGAGCAGGAAGGGAGCAAAGGAGAGGAAAAAGGAGAGAGAGAGAGAGAGAGAGACAGAGAGAACUACAGUACACAUCUGAUUCAACAGCAUCAAAGUAGAAAUUGACAGUGAGGACCCACGUGACAGCAGAAAGACACCAAAUGCAGUUUCAGACGCUGUAACUCUGCCCAGACCAGGUCAUUUAAACCAUGUCCCCCCAUACACUCAAACACUGGUUUAUAGGGGAGCAGAAGAGGGAAACAGAAAUCUUUUAGCUUUACAUGGGAAGAGUGAGCACUUACCCGAAGGAAGUUUUAAGUUAUUGACUGUCCCCCUACCCCUGCAUCACAUACAUUUCUCAACCGAUAGGGCUUGUAAAAGAGAUCCAGUAAAUUUAAAGACAUUUUAAAAAGCAGAUCUGUGUCCACUUGAAUUAAACAUUUGGACUUGGGUUAAGUAGAAUCCAAGUUGUAUGAAUGACAAGAGUGGAAGGGCAAAAGGAGAUGAUAUGUGAGGAAAGACCCUCCUAAUAUUGUUUUGGCCAAAUAUGUCCUUAAGCAAUGUUGAGCUUCCUGAGGCAUUCUUGGGGGAAAAUCUAUAGGUGCUGCUGUAAGAGCCAUCUUAAAAACAAGUUCUAGAUUACGGGAAAUAAAACCUAGUUGACUCCCAUUGGUAGAUAGUAAUCUUUCUUAUUCAGAUGGAACCCUCUGUCUCACUGGAGAUGAGGAUUAGAAGGAGAUAAGGCCUGGGAUAGAUGUUAGAACUGCUACCAUGAGAAUACAAAAAGAAGGCAUUAAUAGUUAUUGAUGGGAGAAGGGACGGUACUAACUGAAAAGAGACAAUAUCCUUUUGCCCUUUGAGCCAGUGCUCUGCUACUCACUGAGAAAGCUUUUGGGGCCAAGGGAGGCAGCUGAGACUGGGCUUCUUUAAUACUUCGUACUGUUUUCCAAAGGAAAGAUUAGGCAAUGUAAAAGGUAAUCUGAUUCAGACUGAAGGCCGUGGUAUAGCUUCUCCCAGCUUCAUAAACGUUUCUACUAGACUCCCACAUGAUUCAUUUAGAGGGUUCAAAUGAUCAAGAGGUUCUUUUCUCAAUGAAACCUGUUCCCCUCUAAAAUGGCUUUUCAGUGUUCACUAAAAAUCCAGUCUUAGGAGACAGUCUUUGCAUAGUGUGUGGGACAAAAAUAAUAAUAAUAAUAAAAAGACCAUGCAAACUGAAUCUAUGCAAAGCAAUCUUAAUAACUAAUGAGAAAAAUUACAAUUGUCCUCAAUUCUUAAAAAUGUUAAAACACUAAAACUCUGUUACUGUAGGUUGGAAAUAUAUAGCAAAAUGAAAAAAAAGCUGGCUAAAUUAAUAUUUACUUAUAGCACCAUAAUUUAAAACAUUAGAAACAUUGAUAAUUGAAUUCCAUUAUUUAUUUGUAAAAAAAAAGUAUCAAAAAUAAUUUGAACAUGCUUGCCUUCUCAUAUAACUUAAAAUGUAGAAUGAAUAUCUUUUCUAUUGCGUGGUGAAUUGUCACACUCUUUCCAAAGUUUGGAUUAGCUUCCAGCAGUUUAUCUUUUGUGCUUUUAAUGUGAAAUAUUUCUGAGAUGUCCUUUAAUGUGAAGAUUUUUCCUGGCAUCACUUCCUCUAUGACAUCUUCCUCUUUUCUUUUUUGUCACAAAUGCUUUGCUUAUUUAUAUUGGUAAGUUGUUCACCUUAGCUAAAUUCCACUGGCUGCAUAUCUAGACUCUCUUGAAUGGCUGCGGUGUCAAUAUUCCCAGUCAGCUAUGUCUUCUGUGCUGUGCAUGUUUGAUUUAAAUUUUACUUAUAUUGUUAUCGCUUUUAGUUUCUUCAUUGCACUUUCAUCUUUGUUGGCCAAUUCUUUCUUUUGAGUAUCUAUUUUCAUGAAAUGUGACAUCGGUUUAUUUCCAGCCGACCAGGAGGCAACACAACUACACACUGUGUGAACUGAACCUCAGAUACCACUGGCCUGUCACCAACAGAUUUUGAAGCAAAUGAUGUGAUUGUUCACCGAUUAUCAGUGCAUCUGUUAUUUACAUAGUGAUUUGUGAACUGACAAGUUAGCAGCAGUUUCUGCUUUAUGCAAUUGUUCUGUUAAUAGACUGUGAUUGUGGACUUCUUGGUGUUUGGUCUCAUAGGAAAAUCCAAAAGCCUUUCCUGGAGAAGUUCCACUUGUUUUACAUAGGCUACUGGAUGUCUGGCUUGAUACCAAUAAUCUGAACUGUUAUUUAUUGUGGGUUCUCCAUGGUGGAGGUAAUUAUCUCUGGACAUUGAAAUGACCGGAUUGGGGCGUGCUCCACGGACCACUCCUGGAACACAUUGCAGAGGAGAGGAUUGUGUCUCUGGAACUCUUCUCCUUUGUAAGUUGAAUUAAUCUGAAUGAAUAAUUCUUCACUAGAAGAAACAGAUCCUGCUGAAUGAAAGCACAUAAUGGAGCCCUAGGGGUGAUCUGAGAAACAACUAUAAUUAUCUCUUCUCUGCUUACUGCCAUACUUAGGAAGGAGUCUUUGGACUAGGCAGAAAGUGAUCAAUUUCCUCUCAUAUUACCCUCAACCUGCGGCCUAUUUGUACUCCUGAUUGGAUAAAAGGGUUAAGAAGAACAAAAUGGUUGGAGAGAUUUUUGAAUUUUUAUGAUAAUUAUUUGGUGUCCCAGGAUCUACUGAAUGUCUCAAGAGAGGAACUUUUUUCCACUUCACAAAUUCUAAUUUUUGACUUGAUAAAGAAUGAUGGAAUUUUAGGAAUGUAGCUAAGAGAAAAUAACGUUACUUUAAAUGCUGACCACCAAAUUCUUCUCAGAAACAGUCUCUAUGGGCACAAGAAUGUCCUUGUGAGUGAAAAUAAGGGAAUAUUUGUCACACAGAUAUUUAAAUGGAAUCAGGGCUGUAUAUAACCAUGACAUAAUACUUUGUCAAAAAGUGAAAAGUUAAUCUGGUUGAAGGUAUUUUUACCUGGCAUAUGGAGAAGAUGAUGACAAUAAUGUGGAACUUGAUUAGACAUCAACAGAGACUCAAUGCCUCCUGGAAAACACCUGAGAAAUGAUUGAAGCUCGCUCUGGUCUUGCCUGGAAUCAUGCAUAACAUUUGUUGCUGCCUGCAUGUGGAUUCAUUUUAGCAGUUUAUCAAUUUGGACAGGGAAUUUUGAAUAAAAAAUUUUGGCAGUCAUUAUAGUGACUCUUCUGAGACUGAAAAUUCAGGUAACAAGGAAAAUCAGUGACUCUUUCUCUCUGCUUUCUUCAAAACACAAAUAAUCCAAUGAUGUAUAGGCUGCAUUGCCCUUUGAUUUGUUACCUUAGAGAUCAUUACAUGUUAGUACAUAAAGAAACUUCCCAAUCUUCUUUUAUAGCAUCCAGGUACUCCAAUGUGUAAUUCAGCCAUAACUUAAUAAAAUGGACUCUGUUUGAUAAACAUUUGGAUUAUUUCAAAUAUUUUACUAUUAUAAAGAAUGUUGAA
Molecule: long non-coding RNA, 4956 nt
Filed under: Homo sapiens (human)
Lineage: Eukaryota; Metazoa; Chordata; Mammalia; Primates; Hominidae
Description: HSALNT0137833
Source: RNAcentral